GGUUGUGGCUCAACGGUAGAGCACUCAGCUAGCAUGUGCGAGGCUCUGGGUUCGACCUUCAGCACCA
Molecule: transfer RNA, 67 nt
Filed under: Marmota monax (woodchuck)
Lineage: Eukaryota; Metazoa; Chordata; Mammalia; Rodentia; Sciuridae
Description: tRNA.Ala
Source: RNAcentral